Molecule: ribosomal RNA, 597 nt
Filed under: uncultured bacterium
Lineage: Bacteria
Description: bacterial SSU rRNA
Rfam family: Bacterial small subunit ribosomal RNA
Source: RNAcentral
CCUACGGGAGGCAGCAGUGGGGAAUAUUGCGCAAUGGGCGAAAGCCUGACGCAGCGACGCCGCGUGAGGGAUGACGGCCUUCGGGUUGUAAACCUCUUUUCAGCUCUGACGAAGCGCAAGUGACGGUAGGAGCAGAAGAAGCACCGGCCAACUACGUGCCAGCAGCCGCGGUAAUACGUAGGGUGCAAGCGUUGUCCGGAAUUAUUGGGCGUAAAGAGCUCGUAGGCGGUCUGUCGCGUCGAAUGUGAAAAUCCGGGGCUCAACCCCGGACCUGCAUUCGAUACGGGCAGACUAGAGUUCGGUAGGGGAGUCUGGAAUUCCUGGUGUAGCGGUGAAAUGCGCAGAUAUCAGGAGGAACACCGGUGGCGAAGGCGGGACUCUGGGCCGAUACUGACGCUGAGGAGCGAAAGCGUGGGGAGCAAACAGGAUUAGAUACCCUGGUAGUCCACGCGUAAACGUUGGGCGCUAGGUGUGGGGGUCCUUCCACGACCUCCGUGCCGCAGCUAACGCAUUAAGCGCCCGCCUGGGGAAGUCGGCCGCAAGGCUAAAACGUCAAAGGAAUUGACGGCNGAGAGNGCGAGCGACGACGAGGGAGAG